This 493-nucleotide ribosomal RNA is filed under the name uncultured bacterium. RNAcentral's name for it is "partial 16S ribosomal RNA". It matches the Rfam family "Bacterial small subunit ribosomal RNA", at positions 29 to 523 of the family's 1533-position model. The record is from RNAcentral.
AUUGAACGCUGGCGGCAUGCUUGACACAUGCAAGUCGAACGGUAACAGGUUAAGCUGACGAGUGGCGAACGGGUGAGUAAUGCAUCGGAACGUGCCCGGUCGUGGGGGAUAACGCAGCGAAAGCUGCGCUAAUACCGCAUACGAUCUGAGGAUGAAAGCGGGGGACCGUAAGGCCUCGCGCGAUCGGAGCGGCCGAUGGCAGGUUAGGUAGUUGGUGGGGUAAAGGCUCACCAAGCCAACGAUCUGAAGCUGGUCUGAGAGGACGACCAGCCACACUGGGACUGAGACACGGGGCAGACUCCUACGGGAGGGAGCAGUGGGGAAUUGUGGACAAUGGGCGAAAGCCUGAGCAAGCAAUGCCGCGUGCAGGAAGAAGGCCUUCGGGUUGUACACUGCUUUUGUACGGAGCGAAAAGGUCUCCUCUAAUACAGGGGGCUCAUGACGGUACCGUAAGAAUAAGCACCGGCUAACUACGUGCCCGCCGCCGCGGUAA